This is a non-coding RNA of Schistosoma margrebowiei, 46 nucleotides long. The record is from Rfam. Lineage: Eukaryota; Metazoa; Platyhelminthes; Trematoda; Strigeidida; Schistosomatidae.
GCACUGCUGAGGAGUCCCGCGAUAGGACGAAACGGCCGUCCAGUGC